CCGGUAUGUGGCCCAGUCUGGCUAGUCCCGUGUAGCGCGCCCAUUUCGAUCCCAAGUUUCCAGCUCGGGUUUCCGGGCUCAGAAUUUUCCAGGAGUGGGUUCUUGGGCAGUGGCUGUCGGAGCAGGAAUGGCGCAGCUAGAGGGUUACUAUUUCUCGGCCGCCUUGAGCUGUACCUUUUUAGUGUCCUGCCUCCUCUUCUCCGCCUUCAGCCGGGCGCUGCGAGAGCCCUACAUGGACGAGAUCUUCCACCUGCCUCAGGCGCAGCGCUACUGUGAGGGCCAUUUCUCCCUUUCCCAGGUGGGGUGCCCAACCUGUCCCCACCCCAGGAGAGGCCUGAAAGGUCCCAGCGUCCCCAGCUCCUUCUCCCAUCCUUAGACUUUACUCGUCCCGUUCCACCCCACCCCAGCCUCAGAACAUGAAAGAAACUGGGUAUAGUCUUUUGUUCCUGUCUCUGAGAUCUGUGAAAUAUUUAUUAAAUGAAUGAAUAAACAGCAGAUCUGUCCCCCAGGAAGGAGUGAUCUGGGAGAAUACUUAAUGGGGAACUGAGCGCUCCUCUUGGCAGCUGACAAUAUCGAUCCCACUUUGUCUUUCCUUGUCUCAGGAUUAAAGACAUUCGGGUGCUCCUUGGAAAUACCAGAAAACUUCCCUUUAGCUCACCUGUCAAGCACUUCACUGUGCAUUUUAGGGGUGGGAUGGGGUGGGAUAGGGUGGACUGGAGGGAUCUUCAGCUACCAAAAAGUGACAAUUUAUAAUCACAAAUUCCUUCCCUGGGUAUUUUUAGUGAACUAUCUGUUAACUGGAUAAACUGGCAACGAGUCAAGUCACAUCAUUUUUGAAUAUAUAUUUGACUGUGCAAGUAUGUACAUAUAAAUAUCAAAAUAAACAUCCCCUUCUUUUCUGGUGACACAAUAUAGGGUACUGGCUAUAAAUAUAAAGUCUGUUUUAGAGAAAGAUCUGAUCUUAAAUCUUGGUGCUGUGAUUUACUAGUUUUGUGAUCUUGGAGAUGUUCUGAGUUUCAGAAAUCCAGGUUACUCAUCUGCAAAAUGACAAUAAUCUUUACUAUAGGGCAUAUUGUAACGUUACAAUACAGAGGGUUUGGCACAAUUUCUGUCUCAGUUUAUGUUAGCUGUCAUCAUGGAGCCUGUGGUCCACAUGUUUUCCUAAACUUAGAGUCCCAAACAAUGUUUCCACGCUUUUCAAAACUGGAGCAUUUGUAGUUUUUUUUUUCUUUUUUUAUCAAAAUAAAGGCUUUUAAAGAACACUUCUUGGAAAAUAGAAAUAAUUUUUAAGUUGUUGUUGUUUAUUGGUUGCUGCUACCUGAACCAUCACUAAGCUGGUCCGGGGGCAAAAAAUAAGAAAAACUAAUCCUGUUCUGCCAAGGACUUACUUAACCUUGUCAUAGAAUAACUUCUCAAAAUUUCUGAUUGUUGCUGGAGAUGAGACUUGGGCUUGACAUAUUUGUGUCUGUCUUGUUCAUAUUACCUCUUGCUUUUACUUCAUUUUCUUUCUUUUUAAAGUGGGAUCCCAUGAUUACUACAUUACCUGGCUUGUACCUGGUGUCAGUUGGAGUGGUCAAACCUGCCAUUUGGAUCUUUGGAUGGUCUGAACAUGUUGUCUGCUCCAUUGGGAUGCUCAGAUUUGUUAAUCUUCUCUUCAGUGUUGGUAACUUCUAUUUACUAUAUUUGCUUUUCCGCAAGGUACAACCCAGAAACAAGGCUGCCUCAAGUAUCCAGAGAGUCUUGUCAACAUUAACACUAGCAGUAUUUCCAACACUUUAUUUUUUUAACUUCCUUUAUUAUACAGAAGCAGGAUCUAUGUUUUUUACUCUUUUUGCAUAUUUGAUGUGUCUUUAUGGAAAUCAUAAAACUUCAGCCUUCCUUGGAUUUUGUGGCUUCAUGUUUCGGCAAACAAAUAUCAUCUGGGCUGUCUUCUGUGCAGGAAAUGUCAUUGCACAAAAGUUAACUGAGGCUUGGAAAACUGAGCUACAAAAGAAGGAAGACAGACU
RNAcentral lists this small RNA (2006 nucleotides) under Pongo abelii (Sumatran orangutan). RNAcentral describes it as "retained intron". The record is from RNAcentral. Lineage: Eukaryota; Metazoa; Chordata; Mammalia; Primates; Hominidae.